This 253-nucleotide ribosomal RNA is filed under the name uncultured bacterium. RNAcentral's name for it is "partial 16S ribosomal RNA". It matches the Rfam family "Bacterial small subunit ribosomal RNA", at positions 524 to 776 of the family's 1533-position model. The record is from RNAcentral.
GACGUAGGGCGCGAGCGUUGUCCGGAUUUACUGGGCGUAAAGGGCUCGUAGGCGGCCAACUAAGUCGGACGUGAAAUCCCCAGGCUCAACCUGGGAACUGCGUCCGAUACUGGAUGGCUUGAAUCCGGGAGAGGGAUGCAGAAUUCCAGGUGUAGCGGUGAAAUGCGUAGAUAUCUGGAGGAAUACCGGUGGCGAAGGCGGCAUCCUGGACCGGCAUUGACGCUGAGGAGCGAAAGCCAGGGGAGCAAACGGG